Molecule: ribosomal RNA, 97 nt
Filed under: uncultured bacterium
Lineage: Bacteria
Description: partial 16S ribosomal RNA
Source: RNAcentral
AAGCAUUUCGGUGUGUAAACCACUGUCGAUAGGGAAUAAACGUCGGCUUCGGCCGGCCUGAAUGUACCUAUAAAGGAAGCACCGGCAAACUUCGUGC